CGUUAGCGGCGGACGGGUGAGUAACACGUGGAUAACCUACCUAUAAGACUGGGAUAACUUCGGGAAACCGGAGCUAAUACCGGAUAAUAUAUUGAACCGCAUGGUUCAAUGGUGAAAGACGGUUUUGCUGUCACUUAUAGAUGGAUCCGCGCCGCAUUAGCUAGUUGGUAAGGUAACGGCUUACCAAGGCAACGAUGCGUAGCCGACCUGAGAGGGUUAUCGGCCACACUGGAACUUAGACACGGUCCAGACUCCUACGGGAGGCAGCAGUC
Molecule: ribosomal RNA, 272 nt
Filed under: uncultured Staphylococcus sp.
Lineage: Bacteria; Bacillati; Bacillota; Bacilli; Caryophanales; Staphylococcaceae
Description: partial 16S ribosomal RNA
Rfam family: Bacterial small subunit ribosomal RNA
Source: RNAcentral